AUUUUGGGUACUGAGGUAAAGAGUCCCACUGGUUUGGGACUUUUUGAUCAGGGUUUCAUAUCGAUGGACUCUGAUGCUCGAUUGCUCAUCAGAUUUGGACUCAAUAUUUAUGAGAGAUUUAAUUAGUAAUUUAUUCAUUAAUUAACUCAAUUUGAUUGAGUAAUUAUUUUUGGAUCAAGUCCAAUUGAAUUGGAUUCAGUUGAGUUUGACCCGAUUAGGUUAAGUGUUGACCUAAUCACCAAGGUUGUUUGGUCCC
This 256-nucleotide long non-coding RNA is filed under the name Elaeis guineensis (African oil palm). RNAcentral describes it as "long non-coding RNA (EGUI_LNC010214)". Lineage: Eukaryota; Viridiplantae; Streptophyta; Magnoliopsida; Arecales; Arecaceae. The record is from RNAcentral.